Molecule: ribosomal RNA, 468 nt
Filed under: uncultured bacterium
Lineage: Bacteria
Description: partial 16S ribosomal RNA
Rfam family: Bacterial small subunit ribosomal RNA
Source: RNAcentral
GACGAACGCUGGCGGCGUGCUUAACACAUGCAAGUCGAACGGAAAGGCCCUGCUUUUGUGGGGUGCUCGAGUGGCGAACGGGUGAGUAACACGUGAGUAACCUGCCCUUGACUUUGGGAUAACUUCAGGAAACUGGGGCUAAUACCGGAUAGGAGCUCCUGCUGCAUGGUGGGGGUUGGAAAGUUUCGGCGGUUGGGGAUGGACUCGCGGCUUAUCAGCUUGUUGGUGGGGUAGUGGCUUACCAAGGCUUUGACGGGUAGCCGGCCUGAGAGGGUGACCGGCCACAUUGGGACUGAGAUACGGCCCAGACUCCUACGGGAGGCAGCGGUGGGGAAUAUUGCACAAUGGGCGGAAGCCUGAUGCAGCAACGCCGCGUGCGGGAUGACGGCCUUCGGGUUGUAAACCGCUUUCGCCUGUGACGAAGCGUGAGUGACGGUAAUGGGUAAAGAAGCACCGGCUAACUACGCG